AUUGAACGCUGGCGGCAUGCCUAACACAUGCAAGUCGAACGGUAGCACAGAGAGCUUGCUCUCGGGUGACGAGUGGCGGACGGGUGAGCAAUGUCUGGGAAACUGCCCGAUGGAGGGGGAUAACUACUGGAAACGGUAGCUAAUACCGCAUAACGUCGCAAGACCAAAGUGGGGGACCUUCGGGCCUCACACCAUCGGAUGGUCCCAGAUGGGAUUAGCUAGUAGGUGGGGUAAUGGCUCACCUAGGCGACGAUCCGUAGCUGGUCUGAGAGGAUGACCAGCCACACGGGAACUGAGACACGGUCCAGACUCCUACGGGAGGCAGCAGUGGGGAAUAUUGCACAAUGGGCGCAAGCCUGAUGCAGCCAUGCCGCGUGUAUGAAGAAGGCCUUCGGGUUGUAAAGUACUUUCGGCGGGGAGGAAGGCGGUGAAGUUAAUAGCUUCACCGAUUGACGUUACCCGCAGAAGAAGCACCGGCUAACUCCGUGCCAGCAGCCGCCGUAA
RNAcentral lists this ribosomal RNA (504 nucleotides) under uncultured bacterium. RNAcentral describes it as "partial 16S ribosomal RNA". It matches the Rfam family "Bacterial small subunit ribosomal RNA", at positions 29 to 523 of the family's 1533-position model. The record is from RNAcentral.